GCAGGUGGAAUGGUGGGAGAGGCCGUGAGUUUGGUCCUCAACGCAGUUUUAAAACAAGAAUUCUGGGCCGGGGAUUUAGCUCAGUGGUGCCGCCACCGGCCUCAAAAGCGCAAGAUACCAAGUUCAGUCCCUGGUACUGCAAAACAAAACAAACAAACAAGAAUUCAUGUUGAUUACGCCGCCGCACCCCCAGCAAGCAGCCUGCCCCGGGCAGAGGAGCAGCUGGAGACCCCUUCCGUGGCAGAGAGAACUGAAGGAGGUGUCCCCCAGAGCCCAGGAAGCUGAAGAGGAACUUUACGUCCCCACCAGCCUGUGUGACCUCGGACCAGUUUCUCACCCUCCUACACCUACUUUUUCCUGCUGCGAAGGACAUGCCCGCUCCAACCGGGGCUGCUGAUGAAGGGGAGCAGUUGACGGGCAUCCCCAGCCGCGCACACAGCGCUGGAGGUGUGCGGGGUGGACGUGCAGGCCGGCGGUGGUCCGAGGCAGUGGGCAGGACGGGGCUCCUGCCANNNNNNNNNNNNNNNNNNNNGUCUCCCCGCCUGCUUCCGGAAGCUUCCGAGCGACUCUAACUGAAGCCCACGAAGCCUCCACCUGCCAAGACAGGAAAGCCACAUCCUGGCUGGCCCAGUGAGGCUGGCUGUUCUGACCCGGGCCACAGGUCCCAGGCCGGGCAGAGCCGGUGGGGUUGGGAGGCCACAGAUGCCCGAGUGCUGGGGAAAUGGCACUGAGGACACUGGGACCCCCGUGCCUCGGCUGGGCCAUCUCUGGGGCUCGCUCAGGUGCCCGCUUUGGGAAGAGCCAGGAGCUGAUAUACCAAGACUGAAGACAAAGGAGACACCGGAGUCACCAGAUGGUGAAGACGACAUGUGCCCCGAGGACAAGCAUGGGCAGGAAGGGUCCGCAGGAUGUUGGGGCAGCCAGCGCAGAACCCUGGGCUGGGGAGCAGCAGCGCCCAGAGGGGGAGCUGGGACAGGCAGGUGCCUGAGCACAGCGUCCUGGUGCAAGCUGUUCACUGUUCCUACUCCUGGCCUUGCACUUGGGCUCUCUGAGACUUCUUCCAGUACAUUCCAUUUUAUCACCCAUUCAAGUUUCAACUCGUUUCUGUUGCUUGCAAACAGGGAGCUCUGUCAUACAUCAGGGAAGGCUGUCCUAGGCAUGACCUGGCAUUCUCUUGUUCUUUCUCCCUUUUCUUUCCUUUUUUUUUUUUUUUUUUUGUACUGGGGAUCGAACUCAGGUCCUUGCACUUGUGAGGAAGGCCAUGGAAACACUGAGCUAAAUCCCUAGCCCUUUUUUCUUUCUUGUACUGGAGCUAGAACCUAGAGCCCCCAUAUUCUAGAUAAACACUCUACCACUGAGCUACAUCCCCAGCCCUUUUUAUUUUUAUUCUGAGACAAGGUCUCACUAAGUCACCCAGGCUGACCUCACACUUGUGAUCCUCCUGCCCCAGCCUCCUGGGCACCCUGGAUUACGGCUGUGCACCACCAUGCCUGGCUGGCCUUUUCUCCUACUGCAGUGAUGACUCACUAGACUCUUGGUAUCUGAGUUCACAUCCUGAGCCAAGCAACCUGUUGGGCCAGCUCAUGCUCCAUGUCACUCAGGGUCCACUCAGCCAGGCCUCAGAAGGAGGCAGGGCGUCCGGAUGCUGUGGGGCCGGUGGAAGGCUGGUGGACAUGUCGCGUGCCGCCAUGCGGCUCCUAGAGACACCGCCAAAGCCUCCAGUCAUAAUCUUGGCAGCCGGCAAUGCUGAGAAAGGGGCCUCUCCCCAGUUCUUCCCCAAAUUUCUCACAGGGAAGUGGCGACUCCAGGCUGGGCUCACUCCUCACCAGCAGAGGCUUUGAUGGGCCACGCUCAAGGAGGUGUCGGGGCUUGGUGUACGAGCUCGGUGGUGCUGCAGUGAAAUGCUGGGCAGCUGCCUGUGAAGAAAAUAAGGUUAUUUAGCUCACACUUCUGGGAAUUCGGAGCCAAGAGCGGGCAGCCCAUUGGUUUGGGCAGCAGACUGCUGCAGGGCAUGUGUUGGACUGAAGAAAGGGAGACAGAGACAGAAAGAGGGAGAAAGAGAGACAGAGAGAAACAAAGACAGAGACAAAAACAGAUACAGAGAGAAAGAGACAGAGACAAAGACAGCGAGAUCUGACUUCUUUGCAUCUGUCUAACUGCUUCUGGCCAUAGCUUUCAGAGCAGCUUUACUUCACCUUGGAAAUCUGAGCAAAUUCCCACAGGCCACCUCCAGCCUCGGGGAGAGUAUUCUGGGAAAUGUAGUUCCAGCCUAACCACGGCAGACAGAGCAAAACCACCACAGGGACCUGGCUCCUGUGGCUCACUCCUGGGCAUUCUGUCCUUGGCAAACCUCUCCUCCUGGAGCCUCCAGAGGGAGCAGUCAGCCUUGGGUGCUCUCUUUUCAGGAGCAGCAGAAGCCAGGUUGAACCAGCAGGUUUUCCAAAGGUGUGUCCCCUCCUGCUGAGGCAAACUGUUGGGAGAGGGGCCAGGGUGGUGGCCAUGAAGGGAACCCAGGGGCCAAACCCUCCCCUAGCAUGCAUAUGGUCCUGGGCUGCCCCAGCACUNNNNNNNNNNNNNNNNNNNNNNNNNNNNNCAUAUGGUCCUGGGCUGAUCCCCAGCACUGAGAAAAAAAAAAAGACCCAAAGAGUAGCUCCCUCCCCAGACACAUACCAGCGGACAAAGAAACAAUACCCCAGGGGAAUAUGAGCUCAUAAAGAAAAAUAAGACCCCAAAAUAAACAAGAAGAAAAUUAAUGGACUAGUGAGAACAAGAAUUUGAAAUAUAAUAAAAAUCCUCUAAGAGGAAAAUGGAGAUUGUUCUAUAUUUGGAACAGGAAUGGGAAUGUAUAGAGGAUUUCUCAAGUAUACAAACUAGGAUAGCUGAAACACAAAAUUCAAUACAGAAGUGGAGCGGCAGACAGGUUCACUAAGAAUAAAGUCAGAAGCUGGAAGAUGUGGUUGGCAAACUCUCCCAGAAUGUGUUGGGGAGGAACAAAAAGAUGGAAAGCACAGGGCAAAGUGAGUAAAUAUGGAGGAUAGAGAUGUCUUUGAAGGAGAGUUCCAGAAGAGGAGAGGAGAGGAGAAAAAUCUGGAGUAAAUAUUUGAAAAAUAAUAAAUAAAUGAAUUCCCAGGCUCUGAGGGUGUGAUUCACCAGUAAAGGUGCUUGCCUAGCAUGAAUAAGGCUGAAUCCAAUCCUAAAUUGUUGUUGUUGUUGUUUUGUUGUUUGUUUGUUUGUUUGAGACAGGGUCUCCCUGUGCAGUUGAGAAUGACCUGGAACUCACAGCGAUCUCCUGCCUGAGCCUCCCGAGGGCUGGGAUUACAAGGCCUGCAUCACCACGCCUGGUAAAUCAUUCUUUUUUUAAUGAGCAAACUAAAGAACACCAAAAAACCAGAUCCUAGAAUUUCCAGAGUUAGAGCUGGGUCGCCAAGACAGCAGGUAAGGGAAACAAUGACACUGGAGAGCAGCAGAGUGAACUCAGCCAAAGUGCGAGUUUGAAGAGCUUCCAGAUGGCUAGGAUGGGGCCCUGAGCUUGAUCCCCGGUACAGAAGGGAAAAAGAAAAACUUCCAGAGAAGGACGACAAAGAGCAAAACGAAGCCCACACAUCCCAUUAGGAACGAGCAUCAUUCCAACCUUAAUUUUCUCAAUAACAAUGAUAGACUCAAGAAAAAGAACGUCAGCAAAAUUUUAAUUUUAGUACAAAAUUAAAAUAAAGGCAUUCUCAAACUUUCAGGGCCCCAGAAGAUCCAUUACCUAACAAAGCCUUGAGGAACACUUUUGGAGGAAGUACACUAGUGAGAAAAGGAUUACAUGUCGGAGAACACAGAAGAUACAGAAUGACCAAAGUACUCUGCAAGGCAGCUGGUAAUCUACGAAAGAACAGAUAAAAACACUCCCCUCCCGGAACUACAUCCACUCACACUCUAGGUCAGCAGCCCCUCACCUUUCUGGCACGACGGACCGGUGCUGCGGGAGACAGUGUUUCCACAGAUGGGAAGCCCGGAUGGUUUUGGGAUGAUUCGAGUGCGGGCGCCUCGAGUAUAUUGUGCACUUUAUUUUCAUUAUUGUUACACUGUAAUACACAAUGAGAUAAUUACACGACUGUCCAGAGUGCAGGAUCAGUGCGAGCCCUCAGCUGGAUUCCCUGCAAGUAGCCGUCCCGACCGGAGGUGAUGGGCGACAGUGUGUUGCUUAUGUCCCAGCUACUCUGUAAUCGCCCUUCGGCGGCCAUCAAAUCCCUGCUUCACAAAGAGAGGGUGCUGAAGUGGAAGCGGGCUUGUCAGUGUUUUUGUGGCAACAGCAGGAUAUUCUGCUGAGGUGGAUUAACGGAUGGCCCACUUAGAAUGCCCCGCUGAACUGAAUCAGCGGGUUUGGGCGUGGAGGAUGCACCUGAGGAUUGUUGCCGAGAGCAUAAAAGAGAACUUGAGGGGAAGAUCGUGGGCUGUUGAUCUUCUAGGAGAAGCUUGCUGCGGAUAUUUUCCUUUUCUGGUCAGAGGAGGAGCACAGGGCCUUGCUGUGGCUGGGAAUGGCUGCUGUUCUCAUUGAGAGAGCUCUGAUCUUCACCUGGAGUGUUACUUCCUGGCUUGAUCCCUCAGCCUGACGGCACAAAGGAGCAGGUUUUCUGGCUUCCACCACUGGCCUUUGUGCCUUCCUGGUGCAGAACCUCAAUGCGGACUUUCACGAGGCAUUGCCAUGGGCUCUAGGCCUCUGGCUGGACUCGAGGAGGACAUUGCCUUGGACUCUAGGCCUUCAGCUGGAUUUGUGCGGGACCACUGUCAUGAGAUCCACCCUCUCGGCUGGAUUCUUUGGGUCUCUGAUGUGUGGACAGAUCUCUUGCACUCCUUUCUAUUUGACUUUUUGGGUGACUAUUAUAAAAUAAUACUAUAAAUUGUGUGUCUUGUAUUAAACCUAUUCCCUUGCAAACCCUGGCUACAAUAUCUGCCUUCACUUUAAUGUUGGAUGUAUGAAGAUUUGAAGUUGUGUGAAACAUACCUCUAAGGCCACCAUUUGUGAUCUCAAGCAGUUGUUGGUCCUGUUCUAGUAUAGACAGAGUUGAUUCACUGGGUUUUUUUCACAAGUGGCUUGGCGAUCCAGGCCUUCCCAGUUUGGGAGUCCUGAGACCACACACUAGCUGGCAGAAUAAAGGACCUGGUUUAGCCUCUUUCAAAACCACUGCUUCUUUUUUUUUUGUGUGUGUGUGUGGGGUAUUGAACUCAGGAUUUGGUGCUUGCAACGCAGGCACGGUGCCACUGAGCUCAAUCCCCAGCCCUUCUAACUUAGCUUUGGAUGCAACCACUUUAUCUGCCAACUUGAAGUUAUUGUUCUCUUUUGAAGUGACAGAUUGAGUUCACUGAGCAGGCUGACUAUCUCACUGAGUAGCAAGUUUUGCGACCCCUUCUCUGUCAAUG
This is a long non-coding RNA of Fukomys damarensis (Damara mole-rat), 5406 nucleotides long. The record is from Ensembl. NCBI's taxonomy places the organism in Eukaryota, Metazoa, Chordata, Mammalia, Rodentia, Bathyergidae.